ACAGACAUUCUAGAAUUACCUAGGAGACAAGCCUCUGGGCACACCUCUGAAGCUAAUGGGUAGCCUUGAACUCACAGAGAUCCAACUGCCACUGCCUCCCGAGUGUCUCCUGGUGAUGACUACAUUUUUAGCAAGGAGUGUCAAUAUAAGGAAACAAGCCUGGUAAUGUGACAUGUUCACAAUGACGGGAGCAAUGAGUGGAAUAUGCUCUUCUACCAAAGCCACACACCAAGUGUAGUGGAUUUUCUCUCCCUGAUGAGAGCUCACCAUUCCUAUUCCUUCCCUCUGGGUAAACAUGCUGAUUUAUGAGAAAGUGUUCCACUUGAUAUCAGAAACAUUACUUCUCUGCCUGCUCCAUAUUAAUAAAUAUGUUGGUUAUGCUAAAGGGGAACACAUUGAUCCAAAUGAGAAGGCAACUCACCUUUGAGAUUUCUCCUUCAUGGCCUUCCAGUUUGGUUAUGCAUUUUCUUGUGGUUGCAUUGUAAACUCUUGCUGUCCCUUUUGGAGAGGGAUUGGAAUAUACAUUAAUCCAUCUGAAAUGCAAGACGUCAUGUUACCUAAAAAUCCAUCCUCUGACAAAUGA
Molecule: long non-coding RNA, 583 nt
Organism: Peromyscus maniculatus bairdii (prairie deer mouse)
Lineage: Eukaryota; Metazoa; Chordata; Mammalia; Rodentia; Cricetidae
Source: RefSeq, a predicted model, not a curated record